UGGGGAAUAUUGCACAAUGGGCGCAAGCCUGAUGCAGCCAUGCCGCGUGUGUGAAGAAGGCCUUCGGGUUGUAAAGCACUUUCAGCGGGGAGGAAGGCGGUGAGGUUAAUAACCUCACCGAUUGACGUUACCCGCAGAAGAAGCACCGGCUAACUCCGUGCCAGCAGCCGCGGUAAUACGGAGGGUGCAAGCGUUAAUCGGAAUUACUGGGCGUAAAGCGCACGCAGGCGGUUUGUUAAGUCAGAUGUGAAAUCCCCGGGCUCAACCUGGGAACUGCAUUCGAAACUGGCAGGCUAGAGUCUUGUAGAGGGGGGUAGAAUUCCAGGUGUAGCGGUGAAAUGCGUAGAGAUCUGGAGGAAUACCGGUGGCGAAGGCGGCCCCCUGGACAAAGACUGACGCUCAGGUGCGAAAGCGUGGGGAGCAAACAGG
Molecule: ribosomal RNA, 429 nt
Filed under: Chloroflexota bacterium
Lineage: Bacteria; Bacillati; Chloroflexota
Description: Chloroflexi bacterium partial 16S ribosomal RNA
Rfam family: Bacterial small subunit ribosomal RNA
Source: RNAcentral